This is a long non-coding RNA of Marmota monax (woodchuck), 884 nucleotides long. RefSeq lists it as uncharacterized. The record is from RefSeq and is a predicted model, not a curated record. The transcript is spliced from 4 exons. Lineage: Eukaryota; Metazoa; Chordata; Mammalia; Rodentia; Sciuridae.
UUUAUUCAUACAGUGGAGAACACAGUCACAGUUAUGAUCCAGAAAACUCUGAAUCUGCAAAGAGGACCAGGACUUGGAGACUCACCACUCUGAGUCUCAUUAAUUUGCUGAAGCUCUUGCAAAGUUAUUGGGGUUGGCCUCAAAUUCAUGAUCUUCCUGCAUCAGCCUCCUGAGUUGCUGGGAUUACAGGACUGUGAUCUAUGAUACUGUGUCCUCAUGGGAAGCCAAACAAAGACUGAUGUGAAAACUGGUGAGUCAAGUAUGCAAGAAACCCUCUCUUCUUCUGGAUACUCCUUUGGGAUCAGCAGGAAGAGCUGUCUUGCAGGAGGUAGAGAUGACCAAUGUGAACUCUGAGGAUUUUAUUCUAAUUCAUACAAGGGGAUUUAAGUCCAGCAAAUGAUACCACAAAAUCCUAUGGGCUUUUAAACACAUGCAUUCUUUCCCUUUUACCUUUGGUUUUGUAUGUUCUAUUCAAAUCUCUUUGAUUUAAUAUCGAAAUUUAUAAUUUGUUCUCUUGUUUUUUGAAAUAAAGUCUAAAUCCAGAUGACUAUAUCCUAAGAACUGAAUGAACUAUCAGUAUGCCUAAUUGAGACCCUCUAAUGCUGAAUGCAUUAUUUAUCACCAAAAAGACUACAGUAGACGUCUUAUAGAUCAAAUAAUAAAACGCAGUUUUUGUAUUCUAAAAGCUUAAAAUACAAAAUAUUGAUCAGUAACAUAUGCCCUACUUGUACAAGGGUGAAUUGUAAACAUGAUAUUAGCUGUUAUAUGUAUUAUCAAUAUUUUUUAUAAUAUCUACAUUAAUAGACCUAAAUGUACACAUGUAUAUUCAUAUAAAAUUAUAUGUGUGUACAAGUGUGUGUGUAUGUGUGUGUGUGUGUUUAAAA